This 2611-nucleotide long non-coding RNA is filed under the name Gallus gallus (chicken). Lineage: Eukaryota; Metazoa; Chordata; Aves; Galliformes; Phasianidae. The record is from RNAcentral.
GUCUGAAACUCUGAAUCAAGGUGAAGACUGACACGUAGGAGCCUCAGUUAGGGCCAGAAGCUUAUGUAGCAGAAGCACAUUCUUAAAAUCUUUGAGAAAUCUCCUUUCCUCUUCACCCAGAAAACUCAGAACUCACACCCAACUCACAGCACAAACUCGGAAGGCAGAGGAGUACAUUUGGGGGGAAAUCUCAACAGCACUUUCUGCAAAUCUUUCCUCAGCUUUAACCACUUUGUAUAGCUCCCAUGUAUUCCUCCUCCUAAAUGGGAGCUGCGACUGCUGCUCCCCUGAGGUGGAGCCAGAGCCCAGCCUCAAGCCCCUAACUCAGCUCUACCUCCUACAGAACACAUAUGAAAAGAGAAACUGAUUACACUCUUCAUAAAAAAUGGAAAUAAAACCCAAACAGCGUAGGACAGAGAGGAGAGAGCUCUGAGUGUGGACUGAUAAUAUUCCACCUUUGAAUCAAAGGCCAAUUAGAAAUCAGAGAAGAUGUAGUGUAAAGAAAGUAAUAAAUCCUUAUUGGUCACAGACUUUGCUGUACAACAAAAAAAUCACUUCUAGUUAGUCAUUAGAAAGGAGUGGAAGAUUUCACGCUUCAGAGAGUACAUUAGAAGACAGAUUUUGUAUUUACAACCAAAGUUGAUUUUCUAGAUUAAAUACUUUACAAAGUUCAGAGAUUUGGAAGAAUUGUCGUAACUGCAGCAUUUGGGUGUGUUUAUUAAAAAAAGAAACCCUAUGAAAUCUUUUAAAAUUCCGAAGUGACGGUAAUUAUCCACUCAACGCUUGGACCGAGUAUCUUUUUCAGCAGUAACACCAGCUGUGACAGCUGCUUCCCUGACAGCACAAAGGGAACGUUCUGCCGAUUCACUCGGCGUUCAGCAGGACGACUGGAGGUCUGUUAACAAAGGGAAAUCUGUUCUGUGUUUUCAAAACAAGGAGUGUUGUUUUCUCCCCCGUUUUUAUGCAGCUAUUGAAAAGUCAGAGAGCUGAGGUCGGUUUCAUAUCCAUACUUGAGAAGAAAACGAAUUGCGUCCCAGAAACGUGUAAGAAUAGCACAGCACAAGAUCAGACAUUUUGUCUCUUACAUGCCCAAAAUACUUCAGGCAACUUAAUUUAAUAGAGCAUUAUCACACUGCCAUGCACAUUCACUUAUAUUCCAAUUUCUGUCCAAAUUCAGUGUGGUAGUUCUUUGAUUUGUAAUUAGCCAUUCAGUAUACAAGUGUGACCCACGUUUUGCUAGAAUAUGGUGAACUGCUCAAACUGAGUCACUACACAAACUUGAAACUUCCAUUUCCUUUUCUAACAACAAGGAUAACUCCAUAUCUAUCUGCGUUUAGACUUAGCUUAUAAUCUUAUCGUCACCUCAAGCCAACAGACAAAAUUACAUUCUCUCUUAAAACAGGACAGAGAGGGAGAUGCUAACUUGGCCUGUGGUGGGAAGUGAGCAGUCGAAGAAAGAAGAUUCCUCCAGCCUCCCACCCACCUCUGGAGCAAACCUCGGAUGGAACACCACCAUAAGCACAGGGAAACCACAGGAUCUUCCUCUAGCUGACACUAAGAAGUUAGGACUCCUGGAGUGGCUCUUCGUUUUAUUUUCUGGGGAACUCGGAAGCAUUUUCAGAAGGAAUAAUCUGGACUUAUGAGAGCACAUCAUUCUCCUGACUUUAUUCUCUUGCCCAGCUUGGAGCAUAAUCUGGGCGCUGUCAGCUCUAACAGUGAAUUCAAGGGCAUUAGAAAUUACUGCACUGAAAAAUGUGGUCUGACACUCUUAUGAAAACACAUUAUUACUGUGCAUUAGUAAUUUCCUGCCUGCCUGUGAAUAGACAGAAUGAUAAAGCCUAUUAGAAUUCACCAGGGAAAAGAAGGUACCUCUUACCAAAAAAUCAAGAGCAAUCUGAAAUGUGUAUAUUUCUUUUUCUCUAACAACUUUGUCAUCAAAUCACGUAACAUGAACACAGACAUUAUCAGUUAAAAAACAAUCUGAGUGUUCCUGUAGGAGGCUUUCCAAGGACUGACUCGCUGAGCAACCUUCAGGUGCCACUAACUCCAACUUUUGUGCCUCACAUCAGUCCCAUUAAAACCAAAUGACAAUAUCCAUAACAGUAGUAUGAAGAGAAACUGAUAUAUCCUGAACACAUUCUAAGAAGUUUUUCAAGUUAAAAAGGCUCCAAAGACUGACAUCUGACCAGCACUCACCAACAGCCUCCUUCCUAGCAAGCCAGUGUAUCACAACCACACAUGGCAGCUUUUCUGGCAAUCAGAUCCCCCCAGAAAACAGGACAGAAAAAAAAGGAAGAAAAAAAAAACCAGAAAACUAACAAACUACUGCCCAAAAUCUUAGGGGAAUUCACCUCAGGUCACAAAGCUUUAAUGCCAGGUACUUUAGACCACUGAAAGUUCUGGACUCAGUAGUAAAAGACAAGACCUGUGACAGCUGCCAAGAGAACAGCUACCGGCACAGAAUGCCCAGCAACAGCUUAGACCCAUCCAGACCAAGGACUCUUGAACUUCAUCCUACCUGUCCCACACAAGAGCUCCAGGCCCAGCUGCAGAUGGGGUAAACUUCUGCUACGGCACAGCCUCCUUGGUGCCUGCUGCAGGCCAACCCAAG